ACACAACUCUCAGCAACGGAUAUCUUGGCUCUUGCAACGAUGAAGAACGCAGCGAAAUGCGAUACGUAGUGUGAAUUGCAGAAUUCCGCGAAUCAUCGAGUCUUUGAACGCAAGUUGCGCCCGAGGCUUGACCAAGGGCAUUUCUGCCAGAGCGUCACC
Molecule: ribosomal RNA, 159 nt
Filed under: Pseudocrossidium denticulatum
Lineage: Eukaryota; Viridiplantae; Streptophyta; Bryopsida; Pottiales; Pottiaceae
Description: 5.8S ribosomal RNA
Rfam family: 5.8S ribosomal RNA
About the family: 5.8S ribosomal RNA (5.8S rRNA) is a component of the large subunit of the eukaryotic ribosome. It is transcribed by RNA polymerase I as part of the 45S precursor that also contains 18S and 28S rRNA.
Source: RNAcentral